Molecule: ribosomal RNA, 253 nt
Filed under: uncultured organism
Description: partial 16S ribosomal RNA
Rfam family: Bacterial small subunit ribosomal RNA
Source: RNAcentral
UACGAGGGGUGCAAGCGUUAUUCGGAUUUAUUGGGCGUAAAGGGUGUGUAGGCGGUUUUUUAAGUCAUUUAUUAAAUGCCCUGGCUUAACCAGGGAAGUGUGAGUGAAACUAGAAGACUAGAGUGUGGAAGAGAGAAGUGGAAUUCUCGGAGUAGCGGUAAAAUGCGUAGAUCUCGAGAGGAACACCGAUGGCGAAGGCAGCUUCUUGGUCCAUUACUGACGCUGAAACACGAAAGCGUGGGGAGCAAACAGG